UACGUAGGGAGCUAGCGUUAUUCGGAAUUACUGGGCGUAAAGCGCACGUAGGCGGCUUUGUAAGUAAGAGGUGAAAGCCCAGAGCUCAACUCUGGAAUUGCCUUUUAGACUGCAUCGCUUGAAUCAUGGAGAGGUCAGUGGAAUUCCGAGUGUAGAGGUGAAAUUCGUAGAUAUUCGGAAGAACACCAGUGGCGAAGGCGGCUGACUGGACAUGUAUUGACGCUGAGGUGCGAAAGCGUGGGGAGCAAACAGG
Molecule: ribosomal RNA, 253 nt
Filed under: uncultured bacterium
Lineage: Bacteria
Description: partial 16S ribosomal RNA
Rfam family: Bacterial small subunit ribosomal RNA
Source: RNAcentral